Molecule: long non-coding RNA, 825 nt
Filed under: Felis catus (domestic cat)
Lineage: Eukaryota; Metazoa; Chordata; Mammalia; Carnivora; Felidae
Description: lncRNA (ENSFCAG00000044988.2)
Source: RNAcentral
GUCUCAAAAUAAACAUUAAAAAUAAACAUGUCAAAAAAUGACAUUUUCUAAAGGAAGGUAUCCUAAAAUGGGUUUAUUUUACUUCAGUUGGUUUAGCCUCUAUGAUCCUCUUUCCUGGAGCCCUUGGCAAACCCUCAAUCUCAGGUCAUGGUGGAGGAAGAGACAGGAACCUGGGCAGGGUCCUAAGUCCUACUGAUUAGGAACAGAUCUGGGGAUCAGAAAAGGUCCUCUGCCCACGGGCCCUACUGCUUUGGGGGCAUCCCCACAUGUCUGCACGUGCCUUGCCUUUUCCGUGUCUGGGUCUCAGGAUCACCACAACCAAAAACAUUCCUGUCUCAAUCUCAGUGGGCGUCAGCCUAUAGGGUCUUCAGCCUAUCGAGUAGGUAGGAGCCACCCCUGCCCUCUGGGACGCCACUUAACUCUGCUAUCCUAUUCUCACCCUGCACACAUCAGAAGAAUUUUCACUUGAACUUGGAGAUCCCUUGGCCCCUCCCUCCAAACACCCUAACGACCGAUCCCUCUUCCAUUGUGCGCUGCACCCUGAAGGCCGGCAGGGGGCGCGCCGACCCGCCGCCUUGGGCCAGCGUGGAACGCAUGCGCGUGGCGCCCCUUGCCCUCGACGCUGCGUCCGCACGAGAGCUCAGAGACGCGUUCCCUCUGGGGCGACGGAGGAGGCGACGCCGCGGAGGACGAGAGCCCCGUUAUCUGCCCUUUGUCUGCUUAGUUACUGGACUGUCCCUUGGUGAGAAUACGCAGGAAGAGAGGAGCGACUGAGUUCUAGACCAUGCAACCACAGGUGAGUAGGACUUACUCUUCCUUCUCAUG